This 612-nucleotide unclassified non-coding RNA is filed under the name Ravenala madagascariensis. RNAcentral's name for it is "partial external transcribed spacer". The record is from RNAcentral. Lineage: Eukaryota; Viridiplantae; Streptophyta; Magnoliopsida; Zingiberales; Strelitziaceae.
UUCUUUGUUUUGCUCGGCGGAGUUCCAUCGUCGACUGCCUUGUUCGACCCUCCACUCUCGCGGUCCAGCGAGUCGUGGGCGGGCGACGGGCGCGAAGACGGAAUGACCGUGUCGGCACGUGAGCGGUGAUGGAUUCGUAUGCCACGGCGGGCUCCCUGCCACUGCGCAGCCAACCGCCGUCGCUGCACUCCCUUCAUUCUUUGCUCCGACCGUCGUCUCGGAGCCUCGACGCGUUGCCUGUGCGAUCUACCCGGUCGUCGGGAAUACGACUUCGCCCCACGUGCUCAUCCGUUCCCCCCGCCGCGCGCGGGCGAGGAGCGGCAACGUCAGCGGUCCCCGUGCGCCCUCGAACGACGGCACGGCUCCGGCCCCUCGUCUCGAUCGGCCCUCGGUGCACCGCGAGCGCUCGCGGAUGCGGCAUACACGGUUGGCCCGGGGGUCCAUUCGCCCUCGCGCCACGAUCGGUCGGCUCACUUCGCCGCCCUCGACCAGACGACUGUCGCCCCAUCGUCGCCCCCCUCGCCACUCGGCGUCGGGCGGGCGCGGCGGGCGCGGCGUCNCGGANGACGUGCUACCUGGUUGAUCCUGCCAGUAGUCAUAUGCUUGUCUCAA